GACGAACGCUGGCGGCGUGCCUAACACAUGCAAGUCGAACGGAGUUGUUUCUUCGGAGAUAACUUAGUGGCGAACGGGUGAGUAACGCGUGAGAAACCUGCCUUUCAGUGGGGGACAACAGUUGGAAACGACUGCUAAUACCGCAUAACGUAUCGAGGGGGCAUCCUCUUGAUACCAAAGCUUUAUGUGCUGAAAGAUGGUCUCGCGUCUGAUUAGCUAGUUGGUGAGGUAACGGCUCACCAAGGCGACGAUCAGUAGCCGGUCUGAGAGGAUGAACGGCCACAUUGGGACUGAGAUACGGCCCAGACUCCUACGGGAGGCAGCAGUGGGGAAUAUUGGGCAAUGGGGGAAACCCUGACCCAGCAACGCCGCGUGAAGGAAGAAGGCCUGGUUGUAAACUUCUUUUACCUAGGGACGAAGAACGU
Molecule: ribosomal RNA, 425 nt
Filed under: uncultured bacterium
Lineage: Bacteria
Description: bacterial SSU rRNA
Rfam family: Bacterial small subunit ribosomal RNA
Source: RNAcentral